RNAcentral lists this long non-coding RNA (1095 nucleotides) under Aquilegia coerulea. RNAcentral describes it as "long non-coding RNA (ACOE_LNC001581)". The record is from RNAcentral. Lineage: Eukaryota; Viridiplantae; Streptophyta; Magnoliopsida; Ranunculales; Ranunculaceae.
AUAUAUUUAUAAAUAUUAAGUAACGGUAAAGUAGUGUUACUAACCGGCGAAAAUUCAGCACAUUAUUAUCAUGUGCUAAUUGCAAAGGCGUUAAUUGGUUUAUAAACUAAAAGCUCAGUUGAUUUUCACGAUCCCUACUCUCCCUCUCUCUUCACACUUCUAUCUUCUCUCUCAAAUCAAGAAUGCGAUUACAGAUUUUUGAGAUUCCAUCUCCCAAAUCGGUUAAACAUGGUUAGUAUCUUCUCAUCUCUCUCUCUCUCUCUCUAUUUACUUUUUCAAACAAUUUUCAAUUAGGGUUUCUGUGAUCUAAACUCAGAUUCAUUUUUGCAAUUCAAAAAUUAUGUUUAUUGUACUUUGUUUUUUUUUUUGUUUCCUUGUGUUGGAGAUUACGGCUGUGCUUGUUUGCACGUAAUUUUGAGGGAAAAUAUUUUGAAAAUAUUUUGCUAGUUUUGUUUUGCGAUUUAUUUACAAAAAUUAUAUCUAAACAUGCUUGUUUAGUUUGGGCUAAAAAUUCGGAAAUCAAGAUAAAAAGAGGAGAGAGAAAGAGAGAGAGGAGAGAGAAAGAAAGAAGAGCACGUGAUUCCAAAGAUUCCAGUAUUUUUAAAGCAGCAAAAAAUGCUGAGCUGUUUUUACUUUUAAGAAAAUAAUUCCGGUAGAGCCCACUAUAAAUGAUAACUACCAAGCACCAUGCAAAUCUGUAAAACUUUUUAAAAUCCAACGUGUCACGACUUUCCGGGAGAUUUCCAUGCAACCAAGCACAGCCUACAAUUAUGCAUUGAUUUGGGGAGAUGUGUAUAAAUGUGAUGUUCAUAUGGUUUUUUCUCUUUCUGACUGCUAGUUACACAAGUUUUUGUUAAAACCACGUGAGAAGCGAAGGAAGAGGUGCCGAGACUGCGGAAGAAACUUAUGUUGUAAAAGCAAAGAAGUCAGUGGGAAGUAUUAGAAUAGAAGUAUACCAUAUAUCAAUUUUUCAAAUUGUAGCCUUUUGAUUUUUAAUAAAGGAUGUUAAUUCUUCUACUAAUUACAUCUAAGCAUUUGACUACAUUGUAAUUAUUUUUGGUUUUGUGAACAACUUGAAAUUUCAUGUAGAUAUUC